UGAGGAAUAUUGGUCAAUGGACGAGAGUCUGAACCAGCCAAGUAGCGUGAAGGAUGACUGCCCUAUGGGUUGUAAACUUCUUUUAUACGGGAAUAAAGUGAGGCACGUGUGCCUUUUUGUAUGUACCGUAUGAAUAAGGAUCGGCUAACUCCGUGCCAGCAGCCGCGGUAAUACGGAGGAUCCGAGUGUUAUCCGGAUUUAUUGGGUUUAAAGGGAGCGUAGGCGGACGCUUAAGUCAGUUGUGAAAGUUUGCGGCUCAACCGUAAAAUUGCAGUUGAUACUGGGUGUCUUGAGUACAGUAGAGGCAGGCGGAAUUCGUGGUGUAGCGGUGAAAUGCUUAGAUAUCACGAAGAACUCCGAUUGCGAAGGCAGCUUGCUGGACUGUAACUGACGCUGAUGCUCGAAAGUGUGGGUAUCAAACAGGAUUAGAUACCCUGGUAGUCCACACAGUAAACGAUGAAUACUCGCUGUUUGCGAUAUACAGUAAGCGGCCAAGCGAAAGCGUUAAGUAUUCCACCUGGGGAGUACGCCGGCAACGGUGAAACUCAAAGGAAUUGACGGGGGCCCGCACAAGCGGAGGAACAUGUGGUUUAAUUCGAUGAUACGCGAGGAACCUUACCCGGGCUUGAAUUGCAACUGAAUGAUGUGGAGACAUGUCAGCCGCAAGGCAGUUGUGAAGGUGCUGCAUGGUUGUCGUCAGCUCGUGCCGUGAGGUGUCGGCUUAAGUGCCAUAACGAGCGCAACCCUUAUCGAUAGUUACCAUCAGGUUAUGCUGGGGACUCUGUCGAGACUGCCGUCGUAAGAUGUGAGGAAGGUGGGGAUGACGUCAAAUCAGCACGGCCCUUACGUCCGGGGCUACACACGUGUUACAAUGGGGGGUACAGAAGGCAGCUACACGGCGACGUGAUGCUAAUCCCGAAAGCCUCUCUCAGUUCGGAUUGGAGUCUGCAACCCGACUCCAUGAAGCUGGAUUCGCUAGUAAUCGCGCAUCAGCCACGGCGCGGUGAAUACGUUCCC
Molecule: ribosomal RNA, 1017 nt
Filed under: uncultured organism
Description: bacterial SSU rRNA
Rfam family: Bacterial small subunit ribosomal RNA
Source: RNAcentral